This 75-nucleotide microRNA precursor is filed under the name Haemonchus placei. RNAcentral describes it as "mir-5928 microRNA precursor family". It matches the Rfam family "mir-5928 microRNA precursor family". Lineage: Eukaryota; Metazoa; Nematoda; Chromadorea; Rhabditida; Trichostrongylidae. The record is from Rfam by way of RNAcentral.
GGCGCAAAUUUGAAGUAGAGUACAUUAGUGUGGUCAGAUGAUCUUACUUAUCGACUCUACCUCGAAUUCGGGCUC